This 810-nucleotide ribosomal RNA is filed under the name uncultured bacterium. RNAcentral describes it as "bacterial SSU rRNA". It matches the Rfam family "Bacterial small subunit ribosomal RNA", at positions 8 to 796 of the family's 1533-position model. The record is from RNAcentral.
AGAGUUUGAUCAUGGCUCAGAACGAACGCUGGCGGCGUGGAUAAGACAUGCAAGUCGAACGAGACUUUUCGUUGUAGCAAUACGAUGGAAAGUUUAGUGGCGAACGGGUGCUUAACACGUGGGCAACCUGCCAGGAAGUGGGGGAUAGCUCGCCGAAAGGCGAAUUAAUACCGCAUGUGAUUAGAGAGGACAUCCUUUCGAAAUUAAAGUCGGGGCAACCUGACGCUUCUUGUGGGGCCCGCGGCCUAUCAGCUAGUUGGUGAGGUAACGGCCCACCAAGGCUUUGACGGGUAGCUGGUCUGAGAGGACGACCAGCCACACUGGGACUGAGACACGGCCCAGACACCUACGGGUGGCAGCAGUCGAGAAUUUUUGACAAUGGGGGAAACCCUGAUCGAGCGACGCCGCGUGGAGGAUGAAGGUCUUCGGAUUGUAAACUCCUGUCAUAGGGGAACAGUGCACAGAUAUUAACUGUAUUUGUGUUGAUAGUACCCGAAGAGGAAGGGACGGCUAACUCUGUGCCAGCAGCCGCGGUAAUACAGAGGUCUCAAGCGUUGUUCGGAUUCAUUGGGCGUAAAGGGUGCGUAGGCGGCGCGGUAAGUCGGGUGUGAAAUCUCGGGGCUUAACUCCGAAACUGCAUUCGAUACUGCCGUGCUUGAGGACUGGAGAGGAGACUGGAAUUUACGGUGUAGCGGUGAAAUGCGUAGAUAUCGUAAGGAAGACCAGUGGCGAAGGCGGGUCUCUGGACAGUUCCUGACGCUGAGGCACGAAGGUCAGGGGAGCAAACGGGAUUAGAUACCCUAGUAGUCC